UACCGUUGCACGCCAUUGAUUACCGGUA
Molecule: small RNA, 28 nt
Filed under: Bombyx mori (domestic silkworm)
Lineage: Eukaryota; Metazoa; Arthropoda; Insecta; Lepidoptera; Bombycidae
Description: ovarian small RNA-502
Source: RNAcentral